This is a long non-coding RNA of Scophthalmus maximus (turbot), 3531 nucleotides long. RefSeq lists it as uncharacterized. The transcript has 4 exons. Lineage: Eukaryota; Metazoa; Chordata; Actinopteri; Pleuronectiformes; Scophthalmidae. The record is from RefSeq and is a predicted model, not a curated record.
GGAAUAGUCAUUUGGUCUGACUGUCUGUACACGAGUUGGGGCUUAGGGCGCUUUAGAGGGCAUUCUGACAAUGGGAGAGGGAUUGAGGCGGGAGCCCGUCAGUGGCUUUGCUGUUUAUCGAUCGCAAAUGUGGUGAGAGCUUAAUUGAUCUCGCACUUUGAGAUCAACACGGUAAUCUCUCUGCCGUGGGACUGUACAGUGGGCCGCUGUGCAGGUGGAGGGGGGAACCGCAGGGGGAAGGGCAUGCAAAGUGCGAGUCGGCCGAGCGGAAAGUCGGGUUUGCGGUUGGUUUUCGCCCGAAUAUCGGAACCAUUCGAGAUUCCACAUUUACUGCUUUUUACCGUUUGACAUAUUCCAAAAAGGUUGACUUUUAUCCCGAACUGCAUUUGGACAUCUCCUCCAUUCUCGGAUUUUCUUUGAUUUAAUUCUCGACGUUUCUACUUAAUUCUACAAAUGUAAAAAGAAACUUUCAUUGUUUUUUUUGGAAUGUCUGGCCUUAUUAACACUCUUCUGUCAACACUCAGCCCUCAGUGGAAUCCAAGUGUCCUCGUGAAGUGCGUGUGCACUAAUAGAUCGACCAGUGGCUCAAAUCAAAACGUGCGCAGCUGCUUCAUUUCACUACCUAGGGAAUAUACGAGGGACUGUGUGAGUCAUUGUAGGCCCACGGUAGAAUUUCUGGAGAAAAAAGAACUCAGAGUCAGGAAAAUCCCCUGAAGAUUCACGGCAAGCUAAUAGCUAGACGCUCCACGCCGGGUGCCACCCAUCACCUGGAUGUUCCGGGAAAUUGUCCUGCUGUUGCGAACGUGUCCGACUCUUGACACUCUCCUGCUGCGUUCUGCAUAUGUCAACGGCGAACUCUGAAAACAGCUGUAGAACAUUCAUUUCCUGGAGGCUCACGUUACCCAAAACCACCGACCCAAGAAUCACCUUUCGUACCAAAUUGUAAAAAAAAAAAGAAAAAAAGAAAGCCAUCCCCAAUUUGAGCGUUUUUUUCAGUCUGACGUUCAUAAACUCCUAACUAGCUCCGGUCCCAUCCAAUCAGUGCUCACUAACUGUGCGCACAAAUUGGUUCCGUAGAGGAAACAGCUCCAUGUCCAAUUAUUUGUUAAAUUCACACGGUCUUGAAAAGGAACAAAAGUGCCCCGUUUCAUGGGGCUCGAGCUGGGAUUUUAAAAACUGUCCAACAACAAAGGCAGGUUGUACAUCCACACAACCUCUAUCAAGACUUCCAUCUCUGCCUUUUUUUUUCAGGUUUUUCUCUAUACAUAUUUCAUCCCAUUCACAUCCCAACUGACUCGGACAGCCCCUUAAAAACACCAGUUUCAGUCCCUUCUCUUCUUAUUAGGAAUCUUCCAACAGCUUCUCUCUCUACCCUUCAAAACCGAAUGGCCGGUCGCCCCCCCCAUCAGUACGACUUCCCAGGGUGGAACCUCGAAUCCGACAAGAGACAGAAGUCAUUGAUGGGAUUGCUGCUGGACCCCGCAGGCGGCUGGGCGGGCAAGGCUAACGACUUCCGUUUACUUCCCGUUCUCUCUCAAAGAAGAGAGUUUCCCUCCCGCUCCGUCUCCGCGGUGGCACUCAGACGUGGCGUCCGCACGAGGAAGGAGAAGGACAGAAAGCGGCGGAGUGUCGUCGGCGAGGACGAGCCAACACAACAACUGUGAAAAUACUGCCAGGGCGGGCCAGGCGGACUGGCCACAACUACAACUGACUGGACGGGAACCAGGCCACGGUUCCACUCAUACUCCAGGAUCUGGAAGUUCGUACACACUGAUACAUCUUUAGUGUUUCUAGCACACAUUUGCUCAGAGGGAGAAUUGGGAAAAACUGGGAUUCUUGGUAGUCUACAUGAAAAAACGAGUGAAUUGUCCAUUUAUUAUUGGAUAAAUAUAUACAUCGUAUUGAUUGGCUACCUUUCUUCAAUGAACUCAAUGAAGGCCUCUCAAAUUAAUUAUCUCUCUUUUUAAUGCAGAUACAUACUUAGGCUAUAUGUAUGUUUACCGAAAUAACCUGGUUCCUUAACCUAUUAAACCCGCGUGUCCCCCCAACCACGGGGCAACCGCCCUUCUCACAACACGCAUCAUGUGAGAGCUUGCUGAACAUGGAAACAAGCUUGGCUAAAAGCCCACGACAACCAUUUUCACCCCUGAAAGAAACACAACCGCGACGCCGAGCAACUAAAUCAGCAAGUAAACUGUACAUGCCCAGAAAUCUGGCGCUGGACGACCGCGCUACUUCGCGCUGACGAAACUAAUGUGUCACACGGAAGCCGAGACUCCACAGAUUGCAAGGGUAUAUUCCACAUCACUCACUAAACCAGCACCAGGCGACCCAAAAGUCAAGUUAAAAACAUGCCUUAGUAUUUUGCUUUCUCAAAGCCUGAGAUCAGAAAACAUGUAAAUCAUACUUUUAUUUGCUACAGGAGCAUAUCACACAGACGGCAUCAGACGUUUUGGAACUUUUAUGACAAUCCUCUUGUGGCUUAUUUGGCUGGUUGAGAGGAAUUCCUUUACUUGUCUGCACAUUUGAGGAUCACGCUUUCUGAUUUCAUUGGCAAUACAUGAAAAGAAAAAAUACUGUGAGUCUAAUCUUAAAAAAUCUCAAAACACCUCUUAGAGUCGAAAGUCGCACUUAAAAAAAGUAGAGUAUAACGAAUUAACAUAUCGCCGUCCCGUUACCUUCUGGCAGCGCUCCACAUACUCGGAUUUUCGGUAUUUUCCUUUGAAGAAGAACUUGGACUGUACUGUUGCGAUGCCAUUUUUUCAGCUGCACACACACACAGUCAUUGAAGUGCGAGUGAGCUAUAUCCCUGAAGAUGGAGUGUCCUGAUUGGCAGUAAAGAGCAACAGAGCAAAAAUGGAGUCAUCCAAAACAGAGUCUAAAUGUGCUUGUAUCCCACCUGCACUUUCUCUGCCCCUCGCUCUCCUGUUAAUACAAACUAAAAAUGCAUUAUUAACCCGAAAAAGUGUCCAACUGCAAUCAUAACCCAAUUGUGAUUCACGUCAUCUCUGACUCUGCCGGUUUAUCGCCCCCCCCUAGCUGACGGAGGCACCGACCCCCCCCCCCCCCCCGUGUCUUUAGUGGCAUCUUGCGAAGGAGCACUCAUGGGGGACGGAUAUGCAGCGAGUGAAUUCAGCUGAUAUAUCCAGGACUUUUCUAUAUUUCUUCUAACAAUAUUAAAGUUUCUUCAGAAACAGAUGCGCCGUGGCCUUUCGGCCUACAGGCAAUGAUCUGAUGCUCUGUAAUUGGCAGCAGGGAAAGGGGGAAACAUGUGGAAUCGAUAUUCAUGUGAGUCAUUUUUUUCAUUUUUAUUUUCUUCUUUCCAUCUGUCAGAAAUGCCCUCUCAAGGUUUGACUCACCGGCAGUCUUUUUUUAGUUUUGUUUGUCUUGAUUUUUGAAAAUCCUCAUCAGCUGAUGUCAAGGGCUCGCAGGAAGCUAAACAAAGCUAUCUCACUCGAGGCGGCUGAAUAAAUACUCCGAACAAAUGGACGCUUUGAAAUAUACAAGGGAACGGGUGGCGUGAAAUGUGUA